Molecule: small RNA, 77 nt
Filed under: Xanthomonas arboricola pv. populi
Lineage: Bacteria; Pseudomonadati; Pseudomonadota; Gammaproteobacteria; Lysobacterales; Lysobacteraceae
Description: sX9 sRNA
Rfam family: Xanthomonas sRNA sX9
Source: RNAcentral
AUGUACCGCGCGUACGCUCCGGUUCUGAGAGCGCCGCCCGCACUCACCUGACGACCGCUCGCCACGUUCUGUUAGCC